AGCAGCCGCGGUAAUUCCAGCUCCAAUAGCGUAUAUUAAAGUUGUUGCAGUUAAAAAGCUCGUAGUUGAAUUUCGGGAUCAAUACGUCGGUCGUGCCUCGGUACGUACUGGCGUCAUUGAUUUCUCCCUUCUGAAGAACCGUGAUGCCAUUAACUUGGUGUCAUGGGAAAUCAGGACUGUUACUUUGAAAAAUUAGAGUGUUUAAAGCAGGCUCACGCUUGAAUACAUUAGCAUGGAAUAAUGAAAUAGGACGUUCGACCCUAUUUUGUUGGUUUCUAGGAUCAACGUAAUGAUUAAUAGGGAUAGUUGGGGGCAUUAGUAUUCAAUUGUCAGAGGUGAAAUUCUUGGAUUUA
This 353-nucleotide ribosomal RNA is filed under the name uncultured Glomus. Its description in RNAcentral is "SSU rRNA". It matches the Rfam family "Eukaryotic small subunit ribosomal RNA", at positions 569 to 928 of the family's 1831-position model. Lineage: Eukaryota; Fungi; Glomeromycota; Glomeromycetes; Glomerales; Glomeraceae. The record is from RNAcentral.